RNAcentral lists this ribosomal RNA (253 nucleotides) under uncultured prokaryote. RNAcentral's name for it is "partial 16S ribosomal RNA". It matches the Rfam family "Bacterial small subunit ribosomal RNA", at positions 525 to 777 of the family's 1533-position model. The record is from RNAcentral.
ACGAAGGUGGCAAGCGUUGUUCGGAUUUACUGGGCGUACAGGGAGCGUAGGCGGUUGGGUAAGCCCUCCGUGAAAUCUCCGGGCCUAACCCGGAAAGUGCGGAGGGGACUGCUCGGCUAGAGGAUGGGAGAGGAGCGCGGAAUUCCCGGUGUAGCGGUGAAAUGCGUAGAGAUCGGGAGGAACAUCAGUGGCGAAGGCGGCUUCCUGGUCCAACACUGACACUGAGGUGCGAAAGCGUGGGGAGCAAACAGGA